UACGUAGGGUGCAGGCGUUAAUCGGAAUUACUGGGCGUAAAGCGUGCGCAGGCGGCUCCUUAAGUCAGAGGUGAAAGCCCAGGGCUCAACCCUGGAAUUGCCUUUGAAACUGGUGGGCUUGAGUGCGGGAGAGGUGAGUGGAAUUCCCAGUGUAGAGGUGAAAUUCGUAGAUAUUGGGAAGAACACCGGUGGCGAAGGCGGCUCACUGGCCCGUUUCUGACGCUCAUGCACGACAGCGUGGGGAUCAAACAGG
Molecule: ribosomal RNA, 253 nt
Filed under: uncultured bacterium
Lineage: Bacteria
Description: partial 16S ribosomal RNA
Rfam family: Bacterial small subunit ribosomal RNA
Source: RNAcentral